This 452-nucleotide ribosomal RNA is filed under the name Selenomonas sputigena. RNAcentral's name for it is "bacterial SSU rRNA". It matches the Rfam family "Bacterial small subunit ribosomal RNA", at positions 28 to 464 of the family's 1533-position model. Lineage: Bacteria; Bacillati; Bacillota; Negativicutes; Selenomonadales; Selenomonadaceae. The record is from RNAcentral.
GACGAACGCUGGCGGCGUGCUUAACACAUGCAAGUCGAACGGGAACCUUUAUUUCGGUAAAGGUGAGAGUGGCAAACGGGUGAGUAACACGUAGGCAACCUGCCGACAGGAUGGGGACAACAUUCCGAAAGGAAUGCUAAUACCGAAUGGAGUCCGAGGAUGGCAUCAUCCCCGGAUCAAAGAUGGCCUCUUAACAAUGCUAUCGCCUGUCGAUGGGCCUGCGUCUGAUUAGCCAGUUGGCGGGGUAACGGCCCACCAAAGCGACGAUCAGUAGCCGGUCUGAGAGGAUGAACGGCCACAUUGGGACUGAGACACGGCCCAGACUCCUACGGGAGGCAGCAGUGGGGAAUCUUCCACAAUGGGCGAAAGCCUGAUGGAGCAACGCCGCGUGAGUGAAGAAGGUCUUCGGAUCGUAAAGCUCUGUUGCACGGGACGAAAACCGGGUUUGAGAA